GAUUAUAUAAAAUAUGUUUUAAGAUAACAACACCAUCUAAAAUUUAUCUUUUUGAAAAGAAAAUUAAUAUUAUAAAUAAAACUUCAUUUUUGAUUAUAUAGUUAAUUAUAUACAAAUUCAUUAAGGGUAGUAUAGAUAUUAACCGUUCUAACUUUUAACGUGAGAGCUCUAUUGCAAAAUUUACUUCGCAAAUAAUAGUAUAGAUUGAUAAAUAAUCCGAAACUUUAUUUUACCGUCCAAUAUAUCCAAUGCUAAACCGGAUUAAGAACUCCAAUUAAAAACUGGUAUAUUAAUUAGUUCCUCCCGGGUCAAAAUUUAGAUAGGACAAACACAAAUCAUUUAAACUAAGAUCACAAUCUUAUAGCCCACGUUAAUUUUGUGGAGGCUUUUUUUUUUGACAACGAAUUUUGUGGAGGUUAAUAAUUGUAUUGCCAUAUCUUUUUCAUUUGUAAUCUAUCUAUCUAUCUAUAUCAUUAAAAAAGAAGUACAAAAUAUAAAUGUCCCUUAAUUUUACCAUUUAUUUACACUAGAAUGCCAAUGAAUAUUUAUUGAACCUAUAUUUAAAUUUGAUUGUAUUUUUCUAAUUUAAAUAAUAUAUUAAUCAUCUAAUGUCUUUCCUAAUUUGAAUAAUAGAUUUUUUAAAUUGAAUCUUAACCAAGAUAGAUUUCCCAAUAGAUUUUGUAUUAACAUAUUAAAUAUUUUUCAAUAUUCAUUAGAAAUAAAAUAUAAAGUAAAAAAUCACACAUCAUAAUCAAUUUAUAUAAUAUAUAAGUAAAAUAUAAAAUAAACUAUUGAUAAAUUAUUGGUAUAAUGUUUUCAUAUAUAUAAGUCCAGUUCAUUAUAAAUAUUGUAUUUGCUUAUAUGAUACAAUGUGAUAUAAUAGAAGAUUAAGAUAAAAAAAUAUAACUAUUCAAAGUACUAAAUAAAAUUGUAAUGUUUUAAAAAUGUUAUAUGAUCAAUUAUGUAAUACAUUUAAAUUAUAAAAUAUAUAUUAUACCAUUUAGUACAAAAAAGAAUUUAAGUUAAAACAAAUAUCAGAUGGUAACAUGUCAAGCUCUAAGAAUAAACAAUACCAGUGUGGAACAAUUUUAUUUAGCAAAUUUAUUCUAAUAGAAAUUAUAAUCCCAAAUAUUUUUAUAUAUUUUGCUAAUUUAUAAAAUUUAUUUUAUUUAUUUUUAAGGGGUGCUAAAAUUUUGGAAUUGGAAAUAAUUAUGACCAACCCUAUACUAUUUUAAUUAGGAUAAUUUAAAUUUAUAUCAAAAUCUUUUAUUAAAAUUUAAUUUAUAAAUAGAAGGUGCAACUUUAUUUUGUGAUAUACGUUUGUGUUAUAACAGCAUAGUUUAGUUUUCGAUCUAAAUUUAUGAAUAAAAAGUACAACUUUAUGUUGUGAUAUACAUUUUUGUGAAAAAUAAUUUAAAAUAUAUACUACGACGCUUUAUGGAGUAAGAGCAAACAAAUAUAUGACUUUAAAUCACGAAGUUAUUUACAAAAAUAGUUAAAGAAGUAAAGGAAUAAGAAGACCAUGCAUGUUGACUAUAGCAUUAUUUUGUUUGAAAAAGCCAUAAACAUUUGAAAAUAUGUUUAACGUUAAAAAUAUUUACCAUUAACGAUGCAAAUUUUUUUUACGUAUAUAAAAAUGAAAUCAAACACCCGUGCGGUUGCGCAGAUUAAGAUCUAGUUCAACUUAGAAAUAUCAGUAAAUCAUGAUAAAUAUAUUAGGUUUCUUAUAUGGAUCUGUUGGCUAUUUAUUUUAUCUUAAAAUGUUAACUUUAGAAUCAUGAAACUAAAUAACUUUUUUGUCUCAUAAAGAUAAUACAAAUUUUAUACUUAUGUUAAAAUUUUAACUUCCUAAUUCGGCCGAUUAAGGAGAUGAUAUAGGUUGAUAAAGAAAAGGGGAUGAUAAAUAGUAAAAGACCCAUUCCGACUUAGUUGGGCUAAGUUGAAAUGCACUAAUUCGAAUACCUCAAUAUAGGUGCAUUAAUGCUCAAUUUGUUUUUUACCUGGUUAAUUAUGAUAUUACAAAUUAUGAGAAACAUUAUAUAUAAGAUAUUACAACUGAGGAUUCACGUCUGAUUGCAUCAUUCUAAGUAGUCCUAUGAGAUCCAUUCCUGACGGUACUCCUUGCGCCAUGCUGAAGAUCUCUUGUAAGCAUUUUUUUUUUAAUUUUCUGCAUAAUUCGCCUUCUCCGGAAAUUGAAACCUAGACCUUUUCCUGUUGAAAUUGCGUUGUCUGGGAUUCAAACCCCACACAUGGAUGUAGAAGCCUUUAAACUUUGACCACUAAGCCACGAUGCUUCCACAAAAUUACGUUAUAGUGAUAUGGCUCAUAAAUAUUGGUUCGUAGAUAUUUGAACUAUAAUAUGCCCUUUGAGGUUAGUUUUCGAACUGUGAUAUUGGCCAUCUAAUGGUUGCACAAAUAAACAGAAGGCCGUUUAUACUUCAAUGUUUUGCCUAUCUAAGCUAACUCACUCAUCUCGCUUGCUUAAAUAGAAUGUGAAACUUUAUUCAUGGAUUAAAGAGUUUGGGUAAAGCUCAAAGUCACUAGCUAAGGGGGAAAGUUUUGAAGUCUCUUCUCGAGGAAAUGAACAGAAACUUAGCUCUGAAAUCCAAAUGCAAGUGGAAUCCUCACAUACAUAGUAUUCGAUUUAAUACAUAAAUUGUAUUGCAAUUUUGGGUUUUGAUUAGGGUUUCGAUUUGGGUUUUGAUUAGGGUUUCAAUUUGGAGUUCGGUGUUGCUGUUGGUUUCGAGUAGGGUUUUGAUUUUGUGUUUUCAUUUCGGUUUCAAGUUAGGGUUUUGAGUUUUUCAAUCUUAACGCUUCUUCUGUUUCUCUUUCUGCAGAUGUCAGAAACGUGAGACCCCAAUUGAGAGCCGCUUCAAUGCAUCCUGGUAGGACUCCUGCUUCUUCUCAACCAACAAUACCUUCUGGAGUGGUCGGCUCUUCAACUUCAUAUGCGGCUCCUCCUCCUCCUCCUCCUCCUCCAACCUAUGCGACGAGAACAGAAGAGGCUCUGCUACGUGCUCCAACCCGAAUUAAUCAGCCACACCUCCAUCUUGAUAAGAUCAAUGGAGCAUUGUGGAUCGGAGUUGAUCUUGAAGUCCAUGAGUUUAUAAGAGCAACAUGGCAGAGAAACUUCUGGGGCCGUGGCAAAGCUGGUUAAAGGUUCCAGUGGAGAAGAAAACAAGUUGGUGGCACUCAUUCAUUAUAAGUGAUCGUGAACUUCCAUUCCCAUUCUCAUUUCCAUUAUUAAUUACUCCUUAAUAUUUUGCUUCUAAUUACUUCUCUUCAUUUGUAGCAACAAUACUACUGGGAAGACCAAUUUCAUGAAGAAAUCUACUUCAAAUGGAAGCUUCAGACUCAAGUGACUAUCUGCGGACGCAUCAGCCAGAAAAGACAAAAGAACAAGCAGCCAAGUUACAUCAGUGCGACUGACUGGGAAACAAUCCUUGCGAAUUGGUCCACAGCUGAAGCAAAAGCCAAGAGCCAAUCGCAGCUGAAUCUCGUUGUGCUGCUCCUCCAGGGCUGAAGAUGCACGUCCAUGGUGCAGGACCACACACCUUUGCAAAUAUUGUGUAUAACAUGGUUGUUGAGGAAGGUCUGGAGGGACAAGUUUCAUAUCCCGACCUUGUGAGGAAGACUCACUGCCGUAAAGAUGGAACCUUCCUUGACGAACGAGCAGAGGCACUGGUUCUGGAGGUUGAGCAAGCGGUUGAACGGCUGCCACAAGAACUUCAAAGACCUUCUCCUAAACGAAGAAUACAUCAAGCGUGGACAGACACUGGCACCAUUUAUUGUCUUGGCAAUCUUCAGUACAAGAACAAGCGUCCUUCCCUUCUGAGUCUGUCCCUGCUGCACUCAAUUGAGAUAUAAACAUGUAGAUUCGGGGUUCUAGCCUGGAGACUCUCACACAGGAAAUCAAGUCUGAUGUUCAUGCUUUAAAGACUGACUUCAAUGAAGGCACAGCUAGAACUCAGUCAACUCUCAACAUGAUUCUGCAACUUCUUCAGGCUCGAACUUCUGCUGCACAAGCAAGUCAGUCUCAGCAUCACUCUCCCUCUCAUUCUGCAGCUCCACCUCAAGGUCAAGCUCAACCUGAAGGUCACGGUCAAGCUCCAACUCCACCUCACGAUCAGCCUCAAGAUCCAGGUGAUGCACAACCUCAACAUCGCAUCACCACUAACAAUUCUGCUUUAGAUAGGUGGUGUAAUGAACUUGGAUUGUAGGUUUAGAUGUGGCUGCUUAUGUAUUAUGGUUUCAAGUUUUGAACCUUUUGAAUGUUUGAAUGUUUAUCUUUUGAAUGUUUUGUGGAUCUUUUGAACUCUUAGGAAGCUAAUGUAAUAUAAAUUCCCUUUCUGUUCUAGCUUCUUUUUUAAAAUGUUCAGAAUCAAAACCAAAACCCAGGAAAAUUGGACCAAAAGGAAACAAAUGAAAUAAAAAUUUUGUUUCCAUUUCGUUGUAAUAUGCGAAAAAAUUAUCGUAGCAAAUUCGUGGUAAGUUGCCACGAAAAGGACGUAGCAACAUCGUAGCAAAUUUGCCACGAAAUGGUCGUCUCAAAAUGUAGCAAGAUGCACGAUUUAUAACGUAGCAAAACGUAGCAAAUUGCCACGUUUCUUUUCAAAGCAAAACGUAGCAAGUUGCCACGUUUCUUUUCGUUGCAACGUCAUAUCAAUUUGCUACGAUUUUGCUACGAUGCGACGAUCUUAUAGCUACGAAAAUAUAAACAUGGCUUUUCGUAGCAAAACCCCCAUAUAGCUACGAAAAUUUCCCUAUAGCCACGAUUAUUUGUCGUUGCUAUUUGAGUUUUGUUUACUAGUGUAUGGCAAAAUUCAGUUUAUCUCAUACGUAAAUAGAUUAUCAAACAUUUUGUAUUACUCGAACUUUCGGAUCUUAUAUUCAUAAUCUCUCAGGAUUUUGAAAUCCAUCUUUUAAAAUUCUGAAUUUAAAAGUAAUACUUCGUACCAAAAUAAUAUGAACGUGAAACACAAAGAGACCAAUCAUAGUAUCAACACCUAGGUGAAAUUAUCAAACAUGUCUAUCAUAUUUUUAAAAGAACAAAUUUAAUAUUUUGUUCUCUGAGUACCGCCACCUGGGUUCUCUGAGUACCGCCACCUGGGUUCUCUGAGUACCGCCACCUGGGUUUGAAUCCGGUCACCUGGAACACUUUAAGUGGUAAGAAAACGUGGAUUUUAUAGGCGUCGUGGUGAUUAGUUAUUGAACCUAGAAAACCUUUGAGAUCUUACCAUGAUCAUCAAACAAUAUAUUAUUUUGUUUGAUUUUUUUCUCUAGAAAUUCAAAUUAUUUAUUCUGUAUAUGCAGAACAUUUGUUAGUGUCAGCAAAUCCGAUCAUAAACAAGGUACAUCCGAAAAUAUCGAUCUUUUCGGAUUAAUAAUGCUUGAUAUUUUAUUCAGAUGCUUAUACUUUUAAGUAUCAUGUAGACGAUAUAUAAAAAGAAUUUUGAAAUUUUAUUUUAUUUAAGUACCAAAUAGUAUCUACAGGCAGGUGAGCAAAUAAUUUAAAGGAGAACUAAUUCUAAAUAUUUAUUGCUGUUAUAGGACGUUUAUUAUUUAUGAGGUCAUUUGUUCGAGGGUUGUCUAUGUAUUAAAUAGUAGGGGUUAACUGGUUAUGAUUUUCUGUAAAAUUUUAUCGCUACCUGGGUUCGAAUCCGGUCACUUGGAACACUUUAAGUGGUAAGAAAACGUGGAUUUUAUAGGUGUCGUGGUGAUUAGUUAUUGAACCUAGAAAACUUUUGAGAUCUUACCAUGAUCAUCAAACGAUAUAUUAUUUUGUUUGAUUUUUUUCUCUAGAAAUUCAAAUUAUUUAUUUUGUAGAUGCAGAACAUUUGUUAGUGUCAGCAAAUCCGAUCAUAAACAAGGUACAUCCGAAAAUAUCGAUCUUUUCGGAUUAAUAAUGCUUGAUAUUUUAUUCAGAUGCUUAUACUUUUAAGUAUCAUGUAGACGAUAUAUAAAAAGAAUUUUGAAAUUUUAUUUUAUUUUAAGUACCAAAUAGUAUCUUCAGGCAGGUGAGCAAAUAAUUUAAAGGAGAACUAACACUACAAAAAAAUAGUUAUAUUGUGACCAAAUUAUUUGUCACAAUAAAACACAAUUCGUCACAAUAAAAAUAUUGCGACAUAUUUGUGACAAUUUCAUUGUGGUUAUAAUACGGUCCUCACAAAUUUUGUUGGUAACAAAAACCGUUACAAUGUUACGACCAUUACAUAUAGUAACUAUUCCGUCACAAAUAGCAACCAUAUAUAAAAGUAAUAAAAAUGUUACAAUUACCAACUACAAUUUAACGUAACAAAGUUGUCAUAUUUUGUGACUAUCACAACGUGCUAAUUCCGUCUCUGAUUACCACUGAAAUAUAGUCUCUAACCGUCACAAACUAAUACUAGUAAAGAAUCAUCACUAAUCCGUCUUCAUUUGCGACUCUUUUAGUUGCUUUAAUUUUGUAAUACUUUAUAACUAAUAAUAGUCACAAAUUCAAGUUAAAUUUUUUAUACCCCAUCUAUAAACUUUUGACUUAAUUAGUUAACAAUUUGUCAUCACGAUUAAUUCAGAAUUCACUAAACUAUUGCUUUAUUUUUAUAGUUAAUAUUUGUAAUAAUAGUGAAAGAAUACAAAAGUAACUAGUAUUUGAAACUAAAUUAAUAUAAACAAUUUUAAAAGAAUAUUAUAAUAUCGACAAAAAAUUAUAAUAUAUGCUACUACAUUCAGCUUCCGGUACUGUGCUGCGGUCGAGAGAAAACAGUUAGGGUUUCCUGAAAUUUUAUCUUCGGUUGACUCUUGCACAGGAAUCGAAAGUUAUGGCGGCUAAGGCUUACAAACUCUUGCAAUGACAGAACUCCAUGAUGUGUUCUCGAUUGGUGUCCAUCUCAAAACAAUGGUUCUAAUAUUAUAUGCCUUUGUCUGACCUCCAGCUGAUUGCCCAGUUCUUUCAAGAUCGAUCUCUUCCUCUCCUUAUUAAAAACCCAACCGCGAGACACACAUACCACCACAACACCAGAAACGAGGGUGGUGCCCAACAUCGGAAACGCACAUCUCUCACUUUUUUCUAUCUCUCAUUCUCUCUAAGGUGGUGGCUGCGGCUAUUCUCUUGGAGUAUAUAGAUUUUAUACAUAUAUAUAUAUAUAUAUAUAUAUAUAUAUAUAUGUGCACACACGUGUCCUCAUUAUUGAUUAGGGUUAUAGACUUGUAGGUAAUGGGCUGUAAUUUGUUUUGAGUUUGGCUUAAUGGAUCGAUCAUACAUAGCAUCAUUUAUUUUCAAUAUGUUUCAGCUUUGAAGAUAUUAUUUUCUAUCUCUUUUCAUUUUGACAUAUGACCGAUAUCUAAUAAGAAAAGUAUAUGCUGUUCAUAUCAUUUUAAACACACAUCUAAAAAAUAGUGACAUCUAAAAUAGAUAGUAAAUAACCAUAUUUUAAAUUAGUAUGAAAUGAAGUAAGUUUUAAAAUAUUGAAGUAUAUAAAAAUAUAUACAUAUCAAGUAAAAAGUAUCAAAACUAUAUUUUUUUAAUCACUGACUUUAUAAAAAUAUAGUUAAAUCAAUUUAGAAAUGUUUAUGUAAAAAGAACAUAAAAAACAUUUGUAAAUUGAUUUAAUAAUAUGACGGAUUUGUUAUAUUGUUCUGUUACAUUUUAUUACUAUUUCUUUUGUCAUCAUAUUGUUACAUAGUGAGACUAUAUGUAUUCCAUCACAGGUUCGUAACUGAUUUGCGACGACGUGUAUUGUCAUAAUAUUGUCACAAUUGUUACGACUGUUAGUUUUGUCUCAAUUUUGUCACUGGCUGUGACAAAAGUAGAUACGAUUUAAAAUCGUAACAAUAUUGCGACGAAAAAACUACUCAUUUAUGACAGAAAACUUAAGUCACAAUUACGUAUUUAAAAAGUAACAAAUUUGUGACAAAUAAUUUGUGUAUCAAAAUUUCGUCACAAUAAGAUCAUUUUCUUGUAGUGUAAUUCUAGAGAUUCAUUAUGUAUAAUUUUGAAACAGAUUGUUAAUAUUUAUUGUUGUUAUAGGACGUUUAUUAUUUAUGAGGUCAUUUGUUCGAGUGUUGUCUAUGUAUUAAAUAGUAGGGGUUAACUGGUUAUGAUUUUCUAUAAAAUUUUAUCGCUAUCUGGGUUCGAAUCCGGUCACUUGGAACGCUUUAAGUGGUAAGAAAACGUAGAUUUUAUAGGUGUCGUGGUGAUUAGUUAUUGAACCUAGAAAACAUUUGAGAUCUUACCAUGAUCAUCUAACAAUAUAUUAUUUUGUUUGAUUUUUUUCUCUAGAAAUUCAAAUUAUUUAUUUUGUAGAUGCAAAACAUUUGUUAGUGUCAGCAAAUCCGAUCAUAAACAAGGUACAUCCGAAAAUAUCGAUCUUUUCGGAUUAAUAAUGCUUGAUAUUUUAUUCAGAUGCUUAUACUUUUAAGUAUCAUGUAGACGAUAUAUAAAAAGAAUUUUUAAAUUUUAUUUUAUUUAAGUUCCAAAUAGUAUCUACAGGCAGGUGAGCAAAUAAUUUAAAGGAGAACUAAUUCUAGAGAUUCAUUAUGUAUAAUUUUGAAACAGAUUGUUAAUAUUUAUUGCUGUUAUAGGGCGUUUAUUAUUUAUGAGGUCAUUUGUUCGAGGGUUGUCUAUGUAUUAAAUAGUAGGGGUUAACUGGUUAUGAUUUUCCGUAAAAUUUUAUCGCUACCUGGGUUCGUAUCCGGUCACUUGGAACACUUUAAGUGGUAAGAAAACGUGGAUUUUAUAGAUGUCGUGGUGAUUAGUUAUUGAACCUAGAAAACCUUUGAGAUCUUACCAUGAUCAUCAAACAAUAUAUUAUUUUGUUUGAUUUUUUUCUCUAGAAAUUCAAAUUAUUUAUUUUGUAGAUGCAGAACAUUUGUUAGUGUCAGCAAAUCCGAUCAUAAACAAGGUACAUCCGAAAAUAUCGAUCUUUUCGGAUUAAUAAUGCUUGAUAUUUUAUUCAGAUGCUUAUACUUUUAAGUAUCAUGUAGACGAUAUAUAAAAAGAAUUUUGAAAUUUUAUUUUAUUUAAGUACCAAAUAGUAUCUACAGGCAGGUGAGCAAAUAAUUUAAAGGGAAACUAAUUCUAGAGAUUCAUUAUGUAUAAUUUUGAAACAGAUUGUUAAUAUUUAUUGCUGUUAUAGGACGUUUAUUAUUUAUGAGGUCAUUUGUUCAAGGGUUGUCUAUGUAUUAAAUAGUAGGGGUUAACUGGUUAUGAUUUUCUGUAAAAUAUUAUCGCUACCUGGGUUCGAAUCCGGUCACUUGGAACACUUUAAGUGGUAAGAAAACGUGGAUUUUAUAGGUGUCGUGGUGAUUAGUUAUUGAACCUAGAAAACCUUUGCAAUCUUACCAUGAUCAUCAAACAAUAUAUUAUUUUGUUUGAAUUUUUUCUCUAGAAAUUCAAAUUAUUUAUUUUGUAGAUGCAGAACAUUUGUUAGUGUCAGCAAAUCCGAUCAUAAACAAGGUACAUCCGAAAAUAUCGAUCUUUUCGGAUUAAUAAUGCUUGAUAUUUUAUUCAGAUGCUUAUACUUUUAAGUAUCAUGUAGACGAUAUAUAAAAAGAAUUUUGAAAUUUUAUUUUAUUUAAGUACCAAAUAGUAUCUACAGGCAGGUGAGCAAAUAAUUUAAAAGAGAACUAAUUCUAGAGAUUCAUUAUGUAUAAUUUUGAAACAGAUUGUUAAUAUUUAUUGCUGUUAUAGGACGUUUAUUAUUUAUGAGGUCAUUUGUUCGAAGGUUGUCUAUGUAUUAAAUAGUAGGGGUUAACUGGUUAUGAUUUUCCGUAAAAUUUUACUGUUUAUGAAAAAAAUUUGUAGAGCUUAAUUUCGUGAAUGUAAAUAGGGGUUAAUUUGUUUUGUUUAAAAUUAUUAUUUUCGUGAAUGUAAUUUUUUUUUGUUAAUUUGUACUUUGUAGGUAUAAAAAUAUGUUGGGAGAUCAUUUAUAGCUAUGUAGGAUCGUCGUGUUUAGGGUGUCUGAUGGCUAGGGUAUUAUGUUCCUUCGUUUUGACUAAUUUACAUAUAACAACUGUUUUGAAUAUUUUUAUUUUUAGUUUAUAUCUUCCAUUUAGAAUUAUGUUGAUUUGAAAUGUAAUAUGUGGUCAUAUGUGCAUUAAAUGUAAUAUGUGGUCAUAUAACAACUGUUUUGAACAAGGUUCUAAAAAUCAGUCUAGGCAGUGUUUAAACGGCAACUCGGUCCUAUCCGAAAUGAUUUCUUAAAAUCCGAUUUAUACUGAUUUAUAUGAUUCAAAUUUGAUUUUAAACUGUUCUAAAUCGGUUAAAAUCGAUAUAAAAUUAUUGUUAACUUAAGUAAUAAUAUUAUUACAAAUCUACAAAUUUGUCUACUUUCUUAUGUUUUGUAUAUCUAAUUUUGAUACUUCAUCACGAUAAUUUUAUAAUUAAACUUAAAAACUAAAAUAUGUCAUAUAAAUGUAUAAAACAUAUAAAAUAAAUCAAUAAUUUAUUAAUGCUUAGACUCCAAAUAAUACGCCUAAUCGUUACUCUUUUAUAAAUCGCCUAGUUACCGCCUAGCAAUUUUUAGAACAUUGGUUUUGAAUAUUUUUAUUUUUAGUUUAUAUCUAUCUUCCAUUUAGAAUUAUGUUGAUUUGAAAUGUAAUAUGUGGUCAUAUGUGCAUUAAGUUUGUCGUCGUUGAGUUCUUUUAUGAAUGAGCGAUUUUUUAACUUAACGAUCAUUGUCUUGAAGUUUUUCUUUCCUUUUUGCUAAAUUGUCUUGAGGUUCCAUUGUGAGAUUAAAUUUAUGUGUCAGAGUAUUAAUUAAUAGAAUUGUUUUAUCAGAAAGAAUUUCAGUUUAGUUCUGACAAUAAAAACUGAAGGUUCUUGUUCAAAUCAUGAACACAAAUUAUCUAACAUAUUUGUAGUAAAAAAAUAUGAGAUUUUAGUUUUCGAUAUAUAUUUUUUGUAUUCUUAUAUAUUUUUCAUCUCGUAGCCCCGUAACUAUAAUUCCAUGAAGUGAUUAAAAACUUACCUCGUAAAUAUUUCGUCUAGUUAUUGUCUCUAUAUUCUCUUUUGCAUAACAUCAGAAUUCUUUAGAGAUUUUAUUAAUAUUUAUUUUUAUCUCCAAAAUUUAGAUUUUCUACUAUCUGUAAAUCGUUAUUUAUGUGGUUGCUCUUCUUUUUUAUGUAUGUGGUUGCUCUUCUAUUUUGGUCAAAGUCCUUUAACUUGGUUUGUUGUAAGAAAAUUGAGACACAGUUUUGUUGAGAUUGGCUACAUUUCUUAAUCGAUAUAAUUAUUUUAAUGGAACUGUUUUAAAAAUAAUUUUCAAAAGGCUUGAAAUCCUUAUAAAAGUUUACAACAUCAAUACAUGUAGGAACAAAAAUACCUCCUCAAAAGCCUUUUACAUAUGUCAAAAGAUCUAAAAAUGAAAUGGACAUGAUGCUUUGUCCAAAAAAAAAAAAGAACUGGACAUGAUGUUUCUAGGACUUGACGGAGAAGUCACUAUCAGUUCGUUGCUCACCUUUCUGAUUCCAUAUCUGCUUUUGAUUUUUAGUUUCAAGCUUGUUUACAAUUGUGUUAAAAAAAACUUGUUUACAAUAAGAAUACAAAAGCCCAGCCAGCCAGUGGUUCACUAACUUUAUCACUAAAUGUUUUUCAUGUUGAUAACAUCAAAAUCACUUUCCCCUCAGCAACUUGUUCUUGUUUAGAUCUAACUUAUGAACAUAAGUUACUUCUUGUUUAGAUCACACAUAUGAAGUAUGUCUUCCAUCAAACUUACUUUCCAUAACCCAGGAAAGUUCGAUAAUUUAUAGAAAAAAGAUUACAUUAUAGAGAUGCAGAUUCUAUAUUAAUUAUGGUCUCCAAUAUCCUUCGUUUCUAAUUUUCACCUAAUAUCAUCAUUAACGGGGUAUGCAACUCCUGUCUCUUAGUAUUAAUAGCAAUUAAAAAAAGUUAGGUUAAAUAGGAAGAAACGUUGCUUAAUUAAGAGUUACAUAGGGACGGUCUUUUGAGACACGUGUUUUUGAGACACGUGUUGGCUAAAGAGCGUUCAUCUCUUUCUCUUUCCCUCUCGUCGACCAUUCUCCAAAAUCUCUCAGACAAUACUCGAUGGCGACGAUUCCUCCCCAAUUCUUCAGGGCAAGUCAAAUAUACUUCUUCUGUGUGUUAGAUUAUGGACGGAGGAGGUGGCGACGGUGGUGGUGCCGCGUACAACCACACACGGUGGAGGAUGUUUUUAGGGAUUUUAAGGUUCGUAGGAAUGGCAUGAUUAAGGCUCUAACCACUGAUGUUCAGGAGUUUUACCGACUUUGCAAUCCAGGUGAGUGCCCUUCAGAGAUUUGUUUGUGGGAUUGAUGAAAGUCACUAUUUUUAUAGUGUGUGUGUUUGAAUUGUCUUUGUUGGCUCUGUUUUGCUGAGUGUUGAAUGAUGCAUUAGGGGUUUUGAUAGUUUCUCUGAAUUAUGAGCGAUAAAGGAGUAAAGUUUUGUUUUUUGUUUGUGGGAUUGAUUUCCUUGAAAGUCUUUGCUUUUUUUUUUGUUUGAGUUUUCUUUCUUGUGCUCUGUUUCUCUGAGCUCUCCUUGAAGGCGGAGUAAAGUUUAGAUUUUUGAAUAUUGAUUUUCAAAAUAAUGUCCUUCUGUCUGAAAUCUCUUUUGGUAGUCACAAGUUCGUGAUGAUGAGCAGAAGUUGUGUCAGAUACAAAGAAAGCUAUUGAGUUGGAUCCUGCAUUAGCCAAAGCUUACUUAAGAAAAGGCUACUUGGAUACAGCAUGGAGAAGAGGAUUGCGCCUAGGGGUACCGUAAUCAAAGCUCUCAUUGCCAAAGGGUUGCUUGGAAGUGAACCCCUUCGAUUCCAUGUGUCUUGGCAUAUACCAGUGAAGCAGCUUGUGACUGAGUUAUUACUUAUUAGCGAGAUCUUGAGGAAAGAUAGUAAUAAAAUAGAUUAGAAAAGCUCUCAUCACCAAAGGGUUGUUUGGUUUAUCGGUUUCAUCAGAAAGAACAUUGGUUAUGUUCUUUCAUGAUUCAGAAACAUCAUGAUGCUUUUUUUUGUGAAUCAUAUUUCAUUCAUGCAAUUAAAACUGGUACAUUCAUGCAAUUAAAAUGUUUAAGAGUUUUGUUUUUAAAAAUCCUUAAUUAAGAGCCUUACAAUGGAGCAUAAAAAUGUUUGGAUUUUUUUAAUAUUGUCUCUUAACUUAUUUUUACUACUUAAAAAUAUUAUAAAAAAAAUAAGAACCCUUAAAUGGGUUUUUGGGAUAAUCAUACAAAAAUGAAAAAAAACGAAACAUUGAUUGAUGAUUUUCGAAACCUUCUAAAUAACCAAAAAAAAAAAACACUCAAUCUAAUUAA
This is a long non-coding RNA of Brassica rapa (field mustard), 13258 nucleotides long. RefSeq lists it as uncharacterized. Lineage: Eukaryota; Viridiplantae; Streptophyta; Magnoliopsida; Brassicales; Brassicaceae. The record is from RefSeq and is a predicted model, not a curated record.